Molecule: transfer RNA, 82 nt
Organism: Termitomyces sp. J132
Lineage: Eukaryota; Fungi; Basidiomycota; Agaricomycetes; Agaricales; Lyophyllaceae
Rfam family: tRNA
About the family: Transfer RNA (tRNA) molecules are approximately 80 nucleotides in length. Their secondary structure includes four short double-helical elements and three loops (D, anti-codon, and T loops).
Source: Rfam
GGGCACAUGGUGUAGCUGGUUAUCACGCUCGCUUUGCAUAUUGACUUGCGAGUGGUCUCCGGUUCGAUUCCGGAUGUGUCCA